Molecule: ribosomal RNA, 475 nt
Filed under: uncultured bacterium
Lineage: Bacteria
Description: bacterial SSU rRNA
Rfam family: Bacterial small subunit ribosomal RNA
Source: RNAcentral
UCCGUGGCUCGAGGACGAACGCUGGCGGCGUGCUUAACACAUGCAAGUCGAACGGUAAGGCCCUUCGGGGUACACGAGUGGCGAACGGGUGAGUAACACGUGGGUGAUCUGCCCUGCACUUCGGGAUAAGCUUGGGAAACUGGGUCUAAUACCGGAUAGGACCACGGUCUGCAUGGAUUGUGGUGGAAAGCUUUUGCGGUGUGGGAUGGGCCCGCGGCCUAUCAGCUUGUUGGUGGGGUGAUGGCCUACCAAGGCGACGACGGGUAGCCGGCCUGAGAGGGUGUCCGGCCACACUGGGACUGAGAUACGGCCCAGACUCCUACGGGAGGCAGCAGUGGGGAAUAUUGCACAAUGGGCGCAAGCCUGAUGCAGCGACGCCGCGUGGGGGAUGACGGCCUUCGGGUUGUAAACCUCUUUCAGCAGGGACGAAGGGUGACUGACGGUACCUGUAGAAGAAGCACCGGCCAACUACGUG